UUUGAUAGGUUAGAUUUGCACUUAUUGAAAAAUAAUCUAUAUCAGUGGAACAUUUUUCAACCAAUAAGAAUAAGGCAUUUAACAACCCAGUGAUAUAAACUAUUUUAAUUCAUGUAGUUUUUGGCGCUGAAAGAUCUUCAUAUUUUUUUUUGCUUGCUGAUUUGGUGAAUUGAUAGUUGAUCACAAAGUUUCCCACAGACAUAUCAGUUAAAUUUGGAUAAAUAGAGGAUGUCUGAAUGUCAGAAGCCACACCCACAUUUACACACAUUAUAACUUUACAAUCUGCCCACCUUAUUCAUACAAUUCAGUGACAUUUCUGUAAUUCAAAAAGUCUGCUUUAAUGUUGGUUUACUUCAUUAGCAAUGUUUCUCACUAUAGACAGAUGUAUGCUGCUGAUUCUUAUAACAGUAUCAGGUGCAUUUGCUGACAGCAUUGAACCAAAAGACAAGAGUACAAAUAUAAUCAAGGCUGAAGGAGAAUCUGUGACACUGAGCUGCAUAUAUGAUACAACCAACAAUUAUGUUUGGCUUUACUGGUACAGACAGUAUCCUAACAGUGAACCUCAGUAUUUACUGCAUAAAGGAGCUCGAUCAAGUAGUGGUGAGAAUAUAGCAGACCGUCGGUUUAAGUCGACAACAUCAGAUUCAUCCACUGAACUCAUUAUUGACAGUGUAACUCUGUCAGAUUCAGCUUUAUAUUUCUGUGCACUGGAGCACAGUGAUACAAAAUACCUGAGAGGCUUUACAAAAACAUAAACUAAAUUAUUGCUUUGAACAGUUUUUAAUCAAGUGAAUAUCAAACCACAGUUGUUCUUUAUGUAAACCACAAAGCUUCAGUAUAUGACAGGAUACAGUAACACCUGCUUUAACCCACAUUAAUAAAAUUAAAGGAUAAAAUGUUUUAGUACUGAACUCAGUGUGUGUGAUUUAUAAAUUAUAAUAAAUUUAUGAAUGGUUUCUCAUCUUAAGU
Molecule: non-coding RNA, 969 nt
Organism: Misgurnus anguillicaudatus (oriental weatherfish)
Lineage: Eukaryota; Metazoa; Chordata; Actinopteri; Cypriniformes; Cobitidae
Source: the annotation of a RefSeq genome assembly